Molecule: long non-coding RNA, 429 nt
Filed under: Prunus persica (peach)
Lineage: Eukaryota; Viridiplantae; Streptophyta; Magnoliopsida; Rosales; Rosaceae
Description: long non-coding RNA (PPER_LNC001948)
Source: RNAcentral
GAACAUGCUUAGAGUUUGCUCAUUUCAAAGUAUUGAUCAAGGAGAAACUGCAGAUGAAGAAGACUAUGUGGUAGUCAACAAAUCCUAAAUUGUUUUUAGUAGAAUCAGUUGAAGGGAGAAUGUUAAGAGUUAUUUAGUUAUGUUUGAUUAAGUUUUAAUUAAAUAAAGCUGACUUGGUAACUCAGAGUCCAAGUCAAGUAGGAUUCCUAGUUUUUGGGAGUCCUGGUUGAGGUUGUGCACCACAGUUAGAAGUUUAGAAGUGUUCCGUUGCCUUCGUUUAGUUCCACAAAAUCUGGACAAGUUGAGUUUAUGUUUAACGUGCAGCCUAGAUCAAUUCUAUUUAAGUUGUAAUCCUGUUUCAUUCAGGAAUGAGUAUUUUCCAGUUUGUUAGUUCAAUAGCUUCAAGCUUUCAGUUAUUUUUGAGUUCUA